RNAcentral lists this ribosomal RNA (430 nucleotides) under uncultured eukaryote. RNAcentral describes it as "SSU rRNA". It matches the Rfam family "Eukaryotic small subunit ribosomal RNA", at positions 25 to 474 of the family's 1831-position model. The record is from RNAcentral.
CAUAUGCUUGUCUCAAAGAUUAAGCCAUGCAUGUGUAAGUAUAAGUAUUGUACAGCGAAACUGCGAAUGGCUCAUUACAUCAGUUAUAGUUUAUUUGAUAUUUGAAAGUUACAUGGAUAACCGUGGCAAUUCUACAGCUAAUACAUGCUUCAAAACCUGACUUCGGAAGGGUUGUAUUUAUUAGAUAUUAAACCAUCCCCUCGGGGCUGUGAUGAAUCAUAAUAACUGAUCGAAUCGAGGUUCGCCUUGAUAAAUCAUUCAAGUUUCUGCCCUAUCAGCUGUAGAUGGUAGUGUAUUGGACUACCAUGGCUAUUACGGGUAACGGAGAAUUAGGGUUCGAUUCCGGAGAGGGAGCCUGAGAAACGGCUACCACAUCUACGGAUGGCAGCAGGCGCGAAAAUUGCCAAUCCGAUCGGGAGGCAGUGACAAG